UUUUCAUUCUAUUGUUUUUCACUGUUCUUCACCCUUUCUUGAUUUUCUCUCUUGUUCUCUUUCUCUCUCUAGGCAAAACCAUAUUCACCUUUAAUUUCAUCAAUGGAACAAUGAACUUUUUCAGGAUUGCUAGUGACAUGACAUAUCCAAACGAGCAUAGAAGGAAGAUUUCAAGCUCUAGGUUCAUACACACAACGUCAUUGAUGUUACUUUUCAAAAGAAUUGUCUAGCUUUUGAUAUCAUAUUCAUGAAUAUGCUUUAUCUUUGCUGCUGAAGUUAGCUCACGACCAGAUGUUGAUGAUAAUUAUUCAUUGCUUGACAUAUAUUCAAGGAGCCAGAGAUUGACGUCCGGUCAUUUAGAUUUGAGUCCCAAGUUUUGCUCUAUCAGUAUGAUGGUCGAACCAGUGAGUGCGAUCAAUUUGAAUGGUCAACGAAUGCAAUUGAUAUUAGUAAAUUUAUGCAUCUUUCGGCUAGUGAAGAAGACUGCAGUGAGGCAAUAUUGCAUGAUAAGAAGCCCUUCAUAUUUGCAACAAAACUGAGCAAAAGAUAUUUAGUGGAAAAGGUUCUGUGAAACAGAGCAAUGUAAAUGCAAAAGAUAAGCUGAAUUGUUACAACGUCGUUAAUACUUUAUUGCAAAUGACAUAUCUACAAAUAUCAAUGUGAAAUAGAAGUUUAGCUAUUAUACUGAUUGAAAUGAUCUUACUAUUUUCUCAAAUCCUGAAUUAUAUUUGAGUAACUUUUAUUUUACAUGGAUUGAAAAUGAUAUUGUUUCUAGUAAUUUGAAGCAUCUCAAUGAAACUGCUAAGUGCAUUGAUGUAACAUUUCUCUAAAAGAUUCCUUAUUGUAGUUUCAAGUGUUGGGGCAAACACUUUCCUUGUUCAAGAUAUUGGCAGGAAUUAGAAGUAUGUUAUAUUAUUCAAGUUUUGUCUUCUGCAGUACUGAAUUUAUUUUUGAUGUUGCAACAAGUGCAAUGGCACUUGCUCCUUGAUGGAAAAAAACAGGAAACAAAGGAGACACCCUAGCGCUUUUGCAGCUAGAGGGAGACCAUUGCACUUUUGUACUAUUUUUUCUCCAAUGUGUGCCAUCAUGGGAUACUCAUUCGAUUUCCCUGAUUUGAAUG
Molecule: non-coding RNA, 1120 nt
Organism: Cicer arietinum (chickpea)
Lineage: Eukaryota; Viridiplantae; Streptophyta; Magnoliopsida; Fabales; Fabaceae
Source: RefSeq, a predicted model, not a curated record